GAGAAUGUUAUCACGGGAGACACACGGCGGGUGCUAACGUCCGUCGUGAAGAGGGAAACAACCCAGACCGCCAGCUAAGGUCCCAAAGUCAUGGUUAAGUGGGAAACGAUGUGGGAAGGCCCAGACAGCCAGGAUGUUGGCUUAGAAGCAGCCAUCAUUUAAAGAAAGCGUAAUAGCUCACUGGUCGAGUCGGCCUGCGCGGAAGAUGUAACGGGGCUAAACCAUGCACCGAAGCUGCGGCAGCGACGCUUAUGCGUUGUUGGGUAGGGGAGCGUUCUGUAAGCCUGCGAAGGUGGCCUGUGAGGGUUGCUGGAGGUAUCAGAAGUGCGAAUGCUGACAUAAGUAACGAUAAAGCGGGUGAAAAGCCCGCUCGCCGGAAGACCAAGGGUUCCUGUCCAACGUUAAUCGGGGCAGGGUGAGUCGACCCCUAAGGCGAGGCCGAAAGGCGUAGUCGAUGGGAAACGGGUUAAUAUUCCCGUACUUGGUGUUACUGCGAAGGGGGGACGGAGAAGGCUAUGUUGGCCGGGCGACGGUU
RNAcentral lists this ribosomal RNA (535 nucleotides) under Salmonella enterica subsp. enterica serovar Enteritidis. Its description in RNAcentral is "partial 23S ribosomal RNA". It matches the Rfam family "Bacterial large subunit ribosomal RNA", at positions 965 to 1503 of the family's 2925-position model. Lineage: Bacteria; Pseudomonadati; Pseudomonadota; Gammaproteobacteria; Enterobacterales; Enterobacteriaceae. The record is from RNAcentral.